Molecule: transfer RNA, 77 nt
Filed under: Bacteroidota bacterium
Lineage: Bacteria; Pseudomonadati; Bacteroidota
Also listed under: 1 other name
Description: Bacteroidetes bacterium (activated sludge metagenome) tRNA-Val
Rfam family: tRNA
About the family: Transfer RNA (tRNA) molecules are approximately 80 nucleotides in length.
Source: RNAcentral
GGGCGGUUAGCUCAGCUGGUUAGAGCGUCUGGUUUACACCCAGAAGGUCGCGGGUUCGAAUCCCCCACCGCCCACCA